AGGAAUAUUUACAAGGUGAUCCGUCAAAGGCUGAGAGACUUAUGGGAUGGAAACCAAAGUGUUCUUUUGAUCAACUAGUGAAGGAGAUGGUUGAAAGUGAUCUUAACUUGAUGAAGAAGAAUCCAUUGGCUUAAACCGCCAGCUUAAGCUGCAAUACCCAAGAGAGCAACAUCGUGUUUAUAAAUUACCUCUAUAUCAAAUCAUCAUUGUGCCCACAAACCCACUUUUUAAUUUCUUUCUUUUAGCAAUGAACAUGUUCUAAAGAGUAUUCCUAGUUAAUGUUGUAUAAUGUAAUGUGGUUCCCGUUGUCAUUUUUGGCUUCCAUGUGCCAUUUACAAUAAUCCUUUAUUCUGUUAUAUUCCUUUUAAUGGUUAAAAGUAUCAUGCAGCAUAACAAAGAUAUUUUCUAACUUGUAGGUUUAUGUCAUUUUAAAUGAAUGAGAUAUAUAUAUUUGAUUUUAGAUACAAAUGUUGACCAAUGAUUUGAGAAGAAAGUUGAUUGAGUUGAUUGCCAUUUUGAUUUUGCCAGGAUCUACACAAUGCAUCAUGCAACAGUUGAAUUGGUGCUAAUCAUGCUUGUUUUAAGAUAGAGUAGCCAUGUUCAGUCUCUGUUUUUAUAGUAGUUGAUAGUAUAUUCCAAAUUCUAAGAAUUUCACUCUGAGAUUUGUAAAUCUGAAAAAAUUUGUAGUUUGGUUGAUUGGAUGUCUUUUGUUUUGCUGAUCUAGCAUUUUUGCUAACUUCAGUUUUCUCGCAUUCCCACAAUGUUCCAGUUCUUUGUGUUGCCAUUGCAAAGUUGGUUUUUAGAAUAUUUGUGAAAGUAUCUGUGGACUAGAAAAUAUUGCUCAAACAUGUAUUGCAUCCCUUCAAAGGUAUACUUUAUUAUAAUAACUCCAGUCGGUUACCAUUGCAAUGUCUUUCAGAAAAUUGUCUUCAUAUAUCUUAAGAUAUGAAAUUUGUAGUGCGUGGUAGUAUGGAAAGCUUGUUUGUUGCUGUAAAUAUGAAAACUUUAUAAAAAUAUGAAUGUAAGUGUUGAGAUAGAUAUGAAUAGGGAAACUUGCUGCUCACAAAGUAGUCGAGCAACAAAUAUUUUUUUUAAGGAACCUUCAUUGUAUGCCAUGAUGUAUUCCAUUGCAAGCAGUUGCUGCCUGUAUUAAGCACUUUAAUUCUGUUUUACUAAAAAUAUUUCCAGCUUUUUUCUUAUUUAUAGACUACAUUCCAUGGCGAUAGAAAACAAAAGAAGAACGAUAUUUUGGCUGAAAAUGUGUAUGAACUUUAAUACCAUAUUUUUCUUUACAAUUAUGUCUACAUAUCUUAAAUUUAGAAAGUCGAAUUAAAUUUGUCUGAAUCUGGAAAUUUUUCUGAAAACAUUCAUGCAUGUUUAUACCACAGAUUUAUACUUGAAAAAUUUGUCAUUACAUUGCUAUAAUGGUACACUAUUUGAGAUCUUGUGCGGGCAUUUGUUACCAUAAAUGAUCUUGGAAAAAAUGCCACGAGUCUAUUUCUCAAACGAAUUCUGGCAUGAAGUGAAGUAUAUUUAUUUCAGAAAAUAUUAUAAUCAGGAAUUGCAUGAAUAGAAUGGACUUAAUUAAUGGUGAAAAAAAGCAUUUGGUGAAAGGAAGAUAAAUCAGUUAUUCAAAUGCCUUGCUUUAAGAUAGGAUUGAUAAUCGUAUGGUAUAAUGUGAAGUGCCUUUAUGACUUAUUUGUAUACUUAUUUAAUUCCACCAACUCUGAAAAAUAUGGUGUUGGGUAAGCAACUUGUUAUAUAUUUAUACUAUUUAUUCUUCUCGAGUUUGUAGUUGGUAAUUAUAAUCAUUUCUAAAAUGAGAUACUAUUUUAUUUUUGCUGAGUAUAUGUUAAAUGAAUAUCUUAUUCUGCUAAACUGCAUAGGGAUAAAAGUUAUAACUAGUCAAACCAAAAAAUGAAGAAAAAAAUACAACUAUAUGUAGUGUGUUUAUGUUUAUCUUUUUUAUGCUAUUAGAAUAAUUUACAAAUUAAGAAUCGACUACAAAGAAGACAUCUCAUAAUCAAAUGGUUAUUCUUGUCUCAGUGUUUUUCUAUGUCUCUUCUGAAAUGAGAGUUUAAUUAUAAUUAUGUGAAUCUAUCUGUAAUUUCAAAAAUUCAUGUGUUGAAUAAUAUUGAAAAGGUAAAAAAAAAAAUUAUCAAAAUAUUUUAAUAUUGAUUUUAUUGCAGGUUUUGGAAGUUUCAAACCCGGGCUGAUGGGAAAAUAUAUUGAUCUGCAUUGUGUAUCAUGUAUAGGGUAACGUGUCUAUUUUCAUUAGGAAUGGAGGGGUUUCUUACAUUAGAUUGAUUAAACCAAAAAAAUACAUUGAAAUGUUUGCAAGUUCUUUUGAAGUGCAAUGUGGCAAUGAGAAGCAUUAUUAAUUUUAUGUUCUAUCUACACAAUUAUAUUUUAGUGAUUAGGAACAACUUAUCCCUUUUAUGCCAUUUUGUAAUUGUAUUUUUAGUUUACUGACCCGCCACCACACCCCCUUCCCUCCCCCAUCGCCACUCUCCAACCACACCCCUUUCACUCUUACAUAUUGGUAAACUGCUUACUUCUCCACCACCCCGUCCACCACAUACUUGACAACUCUGCCUAUUCCUAUUACACCCUUCUCAUCUACCCCCUAUCCCCCUUCUCCCAUGUUACCCCCCUCCCUAUCACACCCUUUCACUACCCUCCCCCCCCCCCCCCCCGACAAAUCCGUCCGCAAUCCCUUUCUCCUACUCCUCUUAUCUGAGUGUUGUCACUAGCCUGUCAUGUCCCAUCAUCGCGAUGGCAAGAGCGUGGAGAACGAGAGCAGGAGUGGACCAGAUUUGAGGCAAUUUGUCACGAAAAAAUAGGCGAAAAGAGCAGAGGGGAAAAAUCAAUCGGGGGCUAGGCAAUCUUGCGGAAAUCCUCCUCGCUGUGUGGUCUCCAUCUUCAUAUUUUUCAUCUCGCUAUCGUGACAGUUGUCGCUUAUCCGCCCUACUCGGGCUUAUCCCCCCGAUGAGGUUAGCAAAGGGCGUAGGUCUUGGGGUUGGAGCGGGUGGGGUUAUAGGUGCGGUUUGGGGAUGGAAGCAGUGGGUAUUAUCUGGUUCCCAGAUUGAGGGAUGAUGUAUGGGGGUGGGGUGGUUUGGAUAAAGCUUGGCGGGUAUAUCCUUUUCUCUUUUUGAUGUAUUACUGUUUACAUUUUCAGUCAUUUUAGUUUCCUCACCACCUUGCGCAAAUAGCAUUAUUUUGUAUAUUUCUGGAUUCUGUAAUGAAUAACUUUUAUAUCUCUACUUCUCUUGAAUCGUCAUGUCUGACGAAAUUGAUAGCAUUUCUAUCAAAUAAAAUCGAAGGGAACAAGAAAGAAUAAUU
Lytechinus pictus (painted urchin) is the source of this 3342-nucleotide long non-coding RNA. RefSeq lists it as uncharacterized. The record is from RefSeq and is a predicted model, not a curated record. Lineage: Eukaryota; Metazoa; Echinodermata; Echinoidea; Temnopleuroida; Toxopneustidae. The transcript has 2 exons.